RNAcentral lists this ribosomal RNA (463 nucleotides) under uncultured bacterium. RNAcentral's name for it is "partial 16S ribosomal RNA". It matches the Rfam family "Bacterial small subunit ribosomal RNA", at positions 28 to 506 of the family's 1533-position model. The record is from RNAcentral.
GACGAACGCUGGCGGCGUGCUUAACACAUGCAAGUCGAACGGAAAGGCCCUGCUUGCAGGGUACUCGAGUGGCGAACGGGUGAGUAACACGUGGGUGAUCUGCCCUGCACUUCGGGAUAAGCCUGGGAAACUGGGUCUAAUACCGGAUAGGAGCCAUUUUUAGUGUGAUGGUUGGAAAGUUUUUUCGGUGUAGGAUGAGCUCGCGGCCUAUCAGCUUGUUGGUGGGGUAAUGGCCUACCAAGGCGGCGACGGGUAGCCGGCCUGAGAGGGUGGACGGCCACAUUGGGACGGAGAUACGGCCCAGACUCCUACGGGAGGCAGCAGUGGGGAAUAUUGCACAAUGGGCGCAAGCCUGAUGCAGCGACGCCGCGUGGGGGAUGACGGCCUUCGGGUUGUAAACUCCUUUCGCUAGGGACGAAGCUUUUGUGACGGUACCUAGAUAAGAAGCACCGGCUAACUACGU